UAUGUAGCUCAGUUGGUUAGAGCACCGCACUCAUAAUGCGGGGGUCACAAGUUCAAGUCUCGUCAUAGCCACCA
RNAcentral lists this transfer RNA (74 nucleotides) under Acinetobacter baumannii. Its description in RNAcentral is "tRNA-Met". It matches the Rfam family "tRNA". Rfam says of the family: Transfer RNA (tRNA) molecules are approximately 80 nucleotides in length. Their secondary structure includes four short double-helical elements and three loops (D, anti-codon, and T loops). Further hydrogen bonds mediate the characteristic L-shaped molecular structure. tRNAs have two regions of fundamental functional importance: the anti-codon, which is responsible for specific mRNA codon recognition, and the 3' end, to which the tRNAs corresponding amino acid is attached (by aminoacyl-tRNA synthetases). tRNAs cope with the degeneracy of the genetic code in two manners: having more than one tRNA (with a specific anti-codon) for a particular amino acid; and 'wobble' base-pairing, i.e. permitting non-standard base-pairing at the 3rd anti-codon position. RNAcentral also lists the same sequence under 1 other name. Lineage: Bacteria; Pseudomonadati; Pseudomonadota; Gammaproteobacteria; Moraxellales; Moraxellaceae. The record is from RNAcentral.